This 521-nucleotide ribosomal RNA is filed under the name uncultured Pseudomonadota bacterium. Its description in RNAcentral is "bacterial SSU rRNA". It matches the Rfam family "Bacterial small subunit ribosomal RNA", at positions 378 to 896 of the family's 1533-position model. Lineage: Bacteria; Pseudomonadati; Pseudomonadota. The record is from RNAcentral.
AAAGCCUGAUCCAGCCACGCCGCGUGAGUGAUGAAGGCCUUCGGGUCGUAAAGCUCUGUGGGGAGGACGAAUAACGCCGUGAAGAACGGCGCUUGACGGUACCUCCUUAGCAAGCACCGGCUAACUCCGUGCCAGCAGCCGCGGUAAUACGGAGGGUGCAAGCGUUGUUCGGAAUUACUGGGCGUAAAGCGCGUGUAGGCGGUCGAGUAAGUCAGAUGUGAAAGCCUUCCGCUUAACGGAAGAAGUGCAUUUGAAACUACUCGGCUGGAGUACGGGAGAGGAGAGUGGAAUUCCCGGUGUAGAGGUGAAAUUCGUAGAUAUCGGGAGGAACACCAGUGGCGAAAGCGGCUCUCUGGUCCGAUACUGCCGCUGAUACGCGAAAGCGUGGGGAGCAAACAGGAUUAGAUACCCUGGUAGUCCACGCCGUAAACGAUGGACACUAGGUGUGGGAGGUAUUGACCCCUUCCGUGCCGAAGCUAACGCAUUAAGUGUCCCGCCUGGGGAGUACGACCGCAAGGUUA